This 253-nucleotide ribosomal RNA is filed under the name uncultured bacterium. Its description in RNAcentral is "partial 16S ribosomal RNA". It matches the Rfam family "Bacterial small subunit ribosomal RNA", at positions 524 to 776 of the family's 1533-position model. The record is from RNAcentral.
UACAGAGGUCCCAAGCGUUGUUCGGAUUCAUUGGGCGUAAAGGGUGCGUAGGUGGCGUGGUAAGUCGGGUGUGAAAUCCCGGGGCUCAACCCCGGGACUGCAUUCGAUACUGCCAUGCUUGAGGACUGGAGAGGAGACUGGAAUUUACGGUGUAGCAGUGAAAUGCGUAGAGAUCAGUAGGAACACCAAUGGCGAAGGCAGCUUGCUGGGCCGACCCUGACGCUAAGGCACGAAAGCGUGGGGAGCGAACAGG